AGUGAACGCUGGCGGUAGGCCUAACACAUGCAAGUCGAACGGCAGCACAGUAAGAGCUUGCUCUUACGGGUGGCGAGUGGAGGACGGGUGAGGAAUACAUCGGAAUCUACUUUUUCGUGGGGGAUAACGUAGGGAAACUUACGCUAAUACCGCAUACGACCUACGGGUGAAAGCAGGGGAUCUUCGGACCUUGCGCGAUUGAAUGAGCCGAUGUCGGAUUAGCUUGUUGGCGGGGUAAAGGCCCACCAAGGCGACGAUCCGUAGCUGGUCUGAGAGGAUGAUCAGCCACACUGGAACUGAGACACGGUCCAGACUCCUACGGGAGGCAGCAGUGGGGAAUAUUGGACAAUGGGCGCAAGCCUGAUCCAGCCAUACCGCGUGGGUGAAGAAGGCCUUCGGGUUGUAAAGCCCUUUUGUUGGGAAAGAAAAGCAGCAGGUUAAUACCCCGCUGUUCUGACGGUACCCAAAGAAUAAGCACCGGCUAACUUCGUG
RNAcentral lists this ribosomal RNA (492 nucleotides) under uncultured bacterium. Its description in RNAcentral is "partial 16S ribosomal RNA". It matches the Rfam family "Bacterial small subunit ribosomal RNA", at positions 29 to 507 of the family's 1533-position model. The record is from RNAcentral.